This 73-nucleotide transfer RNA is filed under the name Cordylochernes scorpioides. RNAcentral's name for it is "tRNA-Glu". Lineage: Eukaryota; Metazoa; Arthropoda; Arachnida; Pseudoscorpiones; Chernetidae. The record is from RNAcentral.
GCCUCCGUGGCCUAAUGGAUAAGACAUCGGUCUUUCAAAUCAGGGAUUGCGGGUUCGAGUCCCACUGAGGAUA